CCUACGGGGGACAGCAGUGAGGAAUAUUGGUCAAUGGGCGAGAGCCUGAACCAGCCAAGUAGCGUGAAGGAUGACUGCCCUACGGGUUGUAAACUUCUUUUAUAAAGGAAUAAAGUGAGGCACGUGUGCCUUUUUGUAGGUACUUUAUGAAUAAGGAUCGGCUAAAGCCGUGCCAGCAGCCGCGGGAAUACGGAGGGUCCGGGCGUUAUCCGGAUUUAUUGGGUUUAAAGGGAGCGGAGAGGGGUUGUUAAGUUAGUUGGGAAAGUUUGCGGCUCAAACGUCAAAUUGCCAUUGAUACUGGCAGCCUUGAGUACAGUUGAGGUAGGCGGAAUUCGUGGUGUAGCGGUGAAAUGCUUAGAUAUCACGAAGAACUCCGAUUGCGAAGGCAGCUUACUAACCUGCCACUGACAUUGAUGCUCGAAAGUGUGGGUAUCAAACAGGAUUAGAUACCCUAGUAGUC
RNAcentral lists this ribosomal RNA (460 nucleotides) under uncultured bacterium. RNAcentral describes it as "partial 16S ribosomal RNA". It matches the Rfam family "Bacterial small subunit ribosomal RNA", at positions 338 to 795 of the family's 1533-position model. The record is from RNAcentral.